Molecule: RNA transcript, 1554 nt
Organism: Dendrobium catenatum
Lineage: Eukaryota; Viridiplantae; Streptophyta; Magnoliopsida; Asparagales; Orchidaceae
Gene name: probable inactive protein kinase At3g63330
Exons: 12
Source: RefSeq, a predicted model, not a curated record
CAGGUGGAGCAAGGAAGUGGCGCUUACUUUAGUGGCCUGCGUGAAAAGUACUUCGGUGAAAUUUUUUUAAAUGCUUCCUUUUCAUUGAGGGAUAUACCGAUGACAGGGUUAUCUACCACUUUUUCAAAGGAAGGUGAAAUCCAUUCUGACAAAUUGAUAUGGAAUGAUACAGCUGAUGUAGGUGCAAAAACAUGUGGGUAUGAUAUGAGGGGCACAGAUUUUGAGAAUUUCAAAAUGACAAAAGCUAAGUGUGAAGAAGGUUUAAAACAUAUAGCUCGAUUUGUAGAAUCUUUUGAAUCUGAGUCAAAUGAGAUAUGGCUUGUGUUCCACACUGAAGGUCUGUCCCUGUCAAAGCUGAUAUAUACUGCAGAGGAAAUGAACUCAGUAAACACUGAUGAAACGGGUGAAAAUGUGAAAAGAAUCCAGAUGGUGCAUCCAUCAAAAUGGUGGCAUUGGCUACGAACAACAGAAGCAGGAAAGAAGGAAAUGCAAGGUCUUGUAUGGCAAUUGCUGAUGGCUAUCAAAUCUUGUCAUGAUCGUAAUAUUACUCAUAGGGACAUAAAACCAGAGAACAUGGUAAUUUGUUUUGAAGAAGCGAAUAAAGGAAAUUGCUUGAGAGAGGUUCCACCUAUUGGGAGUACUCAAUUUCAUCUCAAAAUGCGCAUAAUUGACUUCGGAAGUGCAAUGGACGACUUUACUUUGAAGCAUCUUUAUGGAUCUGGACCAACAAGGUCAGAGCAGACUUUUGAGUACACUCCUCCAGAAGCACUUCUUAAUGCUAGCUGGUUUCAGGGACCAAGCAGCGUUAGAUUGAAAUAUGAUAUGUGGAGUGUGGGAGUUAUUAUGCUGGAGCUGAUACUUGGAUCCCCUCAUGUUUUCCAGAUUUCUGAUAGGACCCGUGCUUUACUUGAUCAGCAUCUUGAAGGCUGGAGUGAACCAACAAAGGAACUAGCUUACAAAUUGAGAUCAUACAUGGAGAUGUGCAUUUUAGUUCCUGGAAUUUCCCCUCAUAGUCACCAAAGAAAUGGAAUUAAAGACCAUGGUGGUGUGUGGCCAGCUUCCUGGAAAUGUUCUGAGGAGUCCUUCUCAAAUCAAGUCAAGAAUAGAGAUCCUCUUAAACUUGGUUUUCCUAAUAUUUGGGCAUUGCGGUUAGUGCGUCAGCUCCUAGUAUGGCAUCCUGAGGACCGUUUUAGUGUUGAUGAAGCCCUGCAACAUCCUUAUUUUGAUUCACGUCAUUGAUGAUAUACAAUGGUCGAGAAGAUUUGCAUUCAUAUCAUUUCAUGGUGAAUUGUAACGUUGUGUUACGGGCCGCUCAUUGCCUCUUGCGAGCGAUCUCUUGUGAAUUGCAAACUUUAUUGGAUUUGUUCGUAGGUCAUCAGCGGGUAUUCAAAAGUCACCAUCUUAGCUCGUGAAACAAUAUGCUAAUUACACUACCAAGAAUGUAUAAGAUCAAAGUUGAAUUAGGAGCAUGCAAAGUGGUUGCUGGUUCAAGUCCUACACCCCAAAAAACCCGAGAAAUUAUUAUGUGCGGAGUCCGGACGUAGAGUUACGUCC